RNAcentral lists this ribosomal RNA (1440 nucleotides) under Listeria monocytogenes. RNAcentral's name for it is "partial 23S ribosomal RNA". It matches the Rfam family "Bacterial large subunit ribosomal RNA", at positions 1 to 1434 of the family's 2925-position model. Lineage: Bacteria; Bacillati; Bacillota; Bacilli; Caryophanales; Listeriaceae. The record is from RNAcentral.
UUGGUUAAGUUAGAAAGGGCGCACGGUGGAUGCCUUGGCACUAGGAGCCGAAGAAGGACGGGACUAACACCGAUAUGCUUUGGGGAGCUGUACGUAAGCGUUGAUCCAGAGAUUUCCGAAUGGGGGAACCCACUAUCUUUAGUCGGAUAGUAUCCUUACGUGAAUACAUAGCGUGAGGAAGGCAGACCCAGGGAACUGAAACAUCUAAGUACCUGGAGGAAGAGAAAGAAAAAUCGAUUUCCUGAGUAGCGGCGAGCGAAACGGAAAGAGCCCAAACCAAGAAGCUUGCUUCUUGGGGUUGUAGGACACUCUAUACGGAGUUACAAAAGAAAGUUAUAAAUGAAGCGGUCUGGAAAGGCCCGCCAAAGACGGUAACAGCCCGGUAGUUGAAAUGGCUUUCCCUCCAGAGUGGAUCCUGAGUACGGCGGAACACGUGAAAUUCCGUCGGAAUCCGGGAGGACCAUCUCCCAAGGCUAAAUACUCCCUAGUGACCGAUAGUGAACCAGUACCGUGAGGGAAAGGUGAAAAGCACCCCGGAAGGGGAGUGAAACAGUUCCUGAAACCGUGUGCCUACAAGUAGUUAGAGCCCGUUAAUGGGUGAUAGCGUGCCUUUUGUAGAAUGAACCGGCGAGUUACGAUUUGUUGCAAGGUUAAGCGGAAAAAGCGGAGCCGUAGCGAAAGCGAGUCUGAAUAGGGCGCAUAAGUAACAGGUCGUAGACCCGAAACCAGGUGAUCUACCCAUGUCCAGGAUGAAGGUAAGGUAAUACUUACUGGAGGUCCGAACCCACGCACGUUGAAAAGUGCGGGGAUGAGGUGUGGGUAGCGGAGAAAUUCCAAUCGAACUUGGAGAUAGCUGGUUCUCUCCGAAAUAGCUUUAGGGCUAGCCUCGAGGUAAAGAGUCAUGGAGGUAGAGCACUGUUUGGACUAGGGGCCCUUCUCGGGUUACCGAAUUCAGAUAAACUCCGAAUGCCAUGUACUUAUACUCGGGAGUCAGACUGCGAGUGAUAAGAUCCGUAGUCGAAAGGGAAACAGCCCAGACCACCAGUUAAGGUCCCCAAAUAUAUGUUAAGUGGAAAAGGAUGUGGGGUUGCUUAGACAACCAGGAUGUUGGCUUAGAAGCAGCCACCAUUGAAAGAGUGCGUAAUAGCUCACUGGUCGAGUGACCCCGCGCCGAAAAUGUACCGGGGCUAAACAUAUUACCGAAACUGUGGAUGAACCUCUUUAGAGGUUCGUGGUAGGAGAGCGUUCUAAGGGCGGUGAAGUCAGACCGGAAGGACUGGUGGAGCGCUUAGAAGUGAGAAUGCCGGUAUGAGUAGCGAAAGAAGGGUGAGAAUCCCUUCCACCGAAUAUCUAAGGUUUCCUGAGGAAGGCUCGUCCGCUCAGGGUUAGUCGGGACCUAAGCCGAGGCCGAUAGGCGUAGGCGAUGGACAACAGGUAGAG